GAUGAACGCUAGCGGCAGGCCUAAUACAUGCAAGUCGAACGGGCGGUAGCAAUACCGCUAGUGGCGCACGGGUGCGUAACGCGUAACCAACCUGCCCAGAUCUGGGGGAUAGCCCGCCGAAAGGCGGAUUAAUACCGCAUAAACCCACAGUGUGGCAUCACAUAAUGGGUAAAGAUUUAUCGGAUCUGGAUGGGGUUGCGUAGCAUUAGCUAGUUGGCGGGGUAAUGGCCCACCAAGGCGACGAUGCUUAGGGGACCUGAGAGGGUGAUCCCCCACACUGGCACUGAGAUACGGCCCAGACUCCUACGCGAGGCAGCAGUCGGGAAUAUUGGGCAAUGGGCGAGAGCCUGACCCAGCCAUGCCGCGUGCCGGAUGAAGGCCUUCUGGGUUGUAAACGGCUUUUCUCAGGGAAGAAAACGGGGAUGCGUCCUCAACUGACGGUACCUGAGGAAUAAGCACCGGCUAACUCCGUG
This 473-nucleotide ribosomal RNA is filed under the name uncultured bacterium. RNAcentral describes it as "partial 16S ribosomal RNA". It matches the Rfam family "Bacterial small subunit ribosomal RNA", at positions 28 to 507 of the family's 1533-position model. The record is from RNAcentral.